RNAcentral lists this ribosomal RNA (497 nucleotides) under uncultured bacterium. RNAcentral describes it as "partial 16S ribosomal RNA". It matches the Rfam family "Bacterial small subunit ribosomal RNA", at positions 28 to 507 of the family's 1533-position model. The record is from RNAcentral.
GACGAACGCUGGCGGCGUGCCUAAUACAUGCAAGUAGAACGCUGAAGAGAGGAGCUUCCUCUUCUUGGAUGAGUUGCGAACGGGUGAGUAACGCGUAGGUAACCUGCCUUGUAGCGGGGGAUAACUAUUGGAAACGAUAGCUAAUACCGCAUAACAAUGGAUGACACAUGUCAUUUAUUUGAAAGGGGCAAUUGCUCCACUACAAGAUGGACCUGCGUUGUAUUAGCUAGUAGGUGAGGUAAUGGCUCACCUAGGCGACGAUACAUAGCCGACCUGAGAGGGUGAUCGGCCACACUGGGACUGAGACACGGCCCAGCCUCCUACGGGAGGCAGCAGUAGGGAAUCUUCGGCAAUGGGGGCAACCCUGACCGAGCAACGCCGCGGGAGUGAAGAAGGUUUUCGGAUCGUAAAGCUCUGUUGUAAGUCAAGAACGGGUGUGAGAGUGGAAAGUUCACACUGUGACGGUAGCUUACCAGAAAGGGACGGCUAACUACGUG